GAGCCUUCAUUGUUAGUCAACAUAAUACUGAUGCAUCAUGAUUUUUAUUAAUUUUGAAUUGAUUUUGGUUCUACUGUUGCUUCUAGUAAAGUAAAAGAUAUUUUCUCAGAAGCAGACAGGAUUUGGCCUUUAAUUUAGGUUUCAGGCUAGCAUUAGUAAAACAUGUUAAAAAUGUUCAGCUAAUUAUUGUACAGUGAAAUUCUGAAUAGGUUUUGACUGUGUUGUCUGUGUUUAUUUUCCAAAGUUGCUGAAGGCCAAAUGACAGAUUUGUUUGUUCUUUUUUCCAUGAUCUGUGACUAAAAGAUCGAAGGGGAAAAAAAAAUCAUCAGUUACAAUAGGCAUUUUCUAAAUAUUUUAGGUAAAUGUUUUCUUUUUAGUAAUAUUUAUAUUAUAAAAAUAGAAACAUUUCUAGAAGGUACAGGAAAGUAGUUUAAACAAAAAAUACUGAAAGGUGCAUAUGAGUAUUUUAAACGUAAAUGUGUAUACAUGCACAGAUGUGCAAGCUGUUGAAUAUUAGGUUCUAACUUUCUUGUAGCUUGAAACUCUGCUUUAUUGCUUCGUCCUAUUAGAAUUUUUCAAUUAUCAUUGGCACUUGAAAGAAUCUUGUAUCAAACUACUUUUAAUUCUAAGCUGUAUCUUUGAAUCUUAUGUGAUUAUGACAAAUAGUUGAAAUUUCACUAUUUCUUUAGCUGAGAAGCACUCAAGAUCUGUGUACCAUGCAAAUCCCUUCUAAGCUUUAUUCUGAUUGAAAUAGCACAUAUUUUUUGAGGUAAUUCUUUAAAGACAGAAUUUUACCCAAGAUACGUUUUGAUGGUGUAAAUUGUACACUUAAUUCUACUGAAUUUCUCUCUGAGUGCUCAUACAAAACUCUGGACAGAAUCUGUUUAUUUGGAUGAAAAUGAGUUUUAUAUUGAUGAUGUAAUUGAAUGUAUUUGUAGUACAUAAUGUGGAUUACUGUCCGAAUGCAGUCAUAUCGUAGCAAGCGCAUAAAUAUUUUCAGAUUAGUAAGGAACAAAAUGUUUUUCUGCCUUAAUGGAUCCUCCGCAGCUCCUUGAGAAUUAUAAUGCAACUCACUAAUAAUUCCAAAGAAAUUUGCAAUCUUAAAACUUGAGCUGUAUAAUGUUGAAGUUCUUCACUACCAACUGGCACACAGCAGAUUUUAUGAGGUCUGUGAAAUUUAAGUUAGAAACCACUUUACAAACACUAUGAGUCAUUCUGGUCAGUUCUCCUAAAUUGUACCAGCAAAUAAAUAAAUUGUAGAUCUUAAUACAUUGGAUGUUGGAUGCUUUACUUCCAGAAUUAUUGCUAAGACCACUGAUAGCUGUUUUGCUUCAUAAAGCUAUGCAGCUGUAGCAUUGUUUUAAGAAGUAGUUUUGAUUUUUCUUUACACAUAGACUGUGCAUUAAAUGAAAGCCCUAAAAUCAGUGUACCAAAGCAUUUUCUGAAAUUAAAAUAACUUCUGUGUUCUUCUGAGCUUUCAUCCUUGCUGUGAACCAAAUAAUAGAAUUCAGAAAACCACAGUCUUAUUUAGUGAAUGGUAAAAAAUAAAACCUACUUGUGAAAAUUUGAAGAUUAUAAAAAUAGAAUGCAGUGUUCCUCUGUAGCAGUUGUGGCAAUCUGAAAUUAUCACAUGUGUGUGCAGCUGUCUAUAGGCAAAUGAAAUAUGUUUGAGAAUUUUGGUUUUGUUUGUAAAACAGUAAAGACCACAUCCUGGUGCUGAGGAACUGGAAAGCCAGAGUUAGCAAACAGCUGGAGAGUCUUCUUGAAAAGACAUUUUGUCUUCGUGUGUUCUGUCAUUCUUUUCUGUUUUGUUUUGACUGAAAUAAGUUAUUUUGAAAGCUCUGCCUGUUCAGGAUCUGAAGAACCAGUGACUGAGUAGAUAAAAACUAUUUCCACCAAUCUGUUCUGAAAAGCAAGAAUUGAGAUAUUUAUGCUCUUUGAUUCCUAUAUCUGGAAACAACAUUAUGAUAAACUAGGUACUUAUUAAGUCUUUGGCAGCACCUACACAAAGGAUUUUGGGGAUCACUUGCAAAGUCACUCUUCCAAGAAACACGUCUGGAAUUAUCACUGCAGAAUCUCUCUAUAAUGACUUGAGCCUUAUACAGAUGAAACUUGUUGGGCGUGUGGCUUUGUAAGGCAGUAUUAACAACAACACGUAUUUCCGUUGGGUGGCAAAAGGUUGAUAUCACAGGAAGGACAAACGUUACUCAUGAGAUGCACUUUGUAUUAGAUGCAGAAUGAGUAAAAGCUUAAUGGAAGAUAACGAUUUAGCUUGAAGUAAAUCUCGGGAGACAUUUUCAAGAGAACUCUCAGACGGCGAAACUGACUAAUGAAGGUUGGUCUAGUGUUACCCACAUAGCUGAAAGAAUCCAGCAGUGUAGGGUAAACAGUCCCUUUCUAGCAUUAUGGUUAGAUGGGACUUCAUACAGUGAAAUACCUAUUGCUUUUGUGCAUAUACAGGAACUUAUUGUUUGGAACGAAUGUCUAUAGAUGGUUUCUUGAAGGAGAAUCCCAAUUUGACUGUCCUUUCAUCACAUUACGUUUUACUCCGAUGAAAUCAUAUAAUUUUCUUGAGAACUAUAUAAGCACCAAGAAUGGCAAAUUACGAAAAGCUUCGUGUAUUAGUGGUAUCUGUCAAAUCAAUGAUAGAGACUCAUAAUUACUUUUUUUUUUCCUGCUAUUAAUUUCAUAUCAAUUGCUUGUGUUGGCCUGUUCUGGCUAUGAACUACAAUUUUGUUUUGGGGUUUUGAGAAUGAUUCCAAAUAAUUUAAAAAGUAAAGAAAGAAAUUAUAUCAAUAUUUAAUUUUCCCACAAGAUUGAGAAACCAUAAAAAGUCAGUUUCCAUACAAAUGUGUGGACUGUUGAUGGACAUAAUUAUAUUCUGGAAAUUAUAGUCAUAUGAAUGAAACCAGAAUCUAGUAUAUAUUAAAAAUAAAUCUUACAUAUAUUCAAAUAAAUAGGAACUGUGGGACAGCAAAUGAUUAGAUGUAGAAUAGCAACAGAGAACUAUAGAUGAUGCAAAAAAAUUCUGCAGCUGCUUCUAAAGAGAAUGUUUGCGAUGAUAUUACAGCACCUUGUAAUAUCCCAUGCAACUUGACUAUUUCUGUGUUAAAAUGGAUGCAGAGUUAAGUAUUGUGCAGAAAAUAUUCAUGUCAUUAUCAGGCAGUUUAGUAUUUAAUGGGAUCUUGAAUGCUUUGAUUUUAUACCAUACAUAUCUAAACCAUGAAAGUUAAAGAACAUAAAUAAUAUUUUAUAUUUGUUUUGCAGUCGAGAUAUUCUUAAGUAUAUUUUUUAAGUCAUUAGAUAAAUGGCUAUGCCUCUGCCAAACCAGUGUAAUCUUACAAGAUGGUGCAUGAAAAAAAGGUCGUAGGUAGGCGCUGGGUAGAGACUCGAACUCUUGUGGGUUACUCUGAGCAGUAUUUAUUGUAGAAGAUUCACAGGAACAGCAGCGUUGGGUCACCUCCUCAGAGAGUGACAAUCAUACAGCAGUAUAACUAGUCAUUAUAUAGGGUUCUAACAGGUAUUAUGCAACUAAACAAAAUCUAUCACUGUCUAUCACUGUCGAUAUCUAUCACUGUUGAUAUCCUCAGGUUCCUUCCGUUCCAGUGGUCUGCGGGUUCCACUUCUUCUUUCUUGGCAAGUACAGAACGACAGGUCAUCAGUCGCAGGGCUAGCUUCUUUUGAAGUUCCACCUGUCUCAUUUGUUAUCCAUAGUUCACCAGUCUAGCAUAGAAAUCAGCAACCCUAAGAAUAGCAUUUAUCAAUGUCUUAACUAAAGGUACAAAGCGAGCAUAAGGUAACCACGCUCGUGGUUCUGGGUAAGGACUGUACAGGGGACAAGCUGAGACUUUCAGCUUUAGCAGCACAGCUUAUAACACUGAUAUAGGCCUAAAAUCCUAAUUUCCUAUUUUCCUACAACAGUGCACACAUUCAAGUCUUAAUUAACCACCUAUUUUGUGGUGAUUAUUUUUCUGUAGCUAUUUAACAAAGGCACUUGGUUGGUUUACAACAGUAAUAAAAGCAAAGAGCAGGAUAAAUAAGGGAUGCUCUAUCAUUUUGACAUGCCACAAGUGAAACAGUGCGUUUUUUUUUUCGUACUGGGGGACUAGAAUAGCAUAUACAGUGUUCCAUGUGCUAUUUGAAUGAAUAAAAUAGCUUUCUUCAAAA
Long non-coding RNA from Columba livia (rock pigeon), 4167 nucleotides. RefSeq lists it as uncharacterized. NCBI's taxonomy places the organism in Eukaryota, Metazoa, Chordata, Aves, Columbiformes, Columbidae. The record is from RefSeq and is a predicted model, not a curated record. The transcript has 2 exons.